UACGUAGGUGGCAAGCGUUGUCCGGAUUUAUUGGGCUUAAAGGGUGCGUAGGCGGCUUUGUAAGUCAGUGGUGAAAUACGGCAGCUCAACUGUCGAGGUGCCAUUGAUACUGCAGAGCUAGAGUACUGAUGAGGUAGGCGGAAUGGACGGUGUAGCGGUGAAAUGCUUAGAUAUCGUCCAGAACACCGAUAGCGAAGGCAGCUUACUAAAGAGUAACUGACGCUGAGGCACGAAAGUGUGGGGAUCAAACAGG
Molecule: ribosomal RNA, 253 nt
Filed under: uncultured bacterium
Lineage: Bacteria
Description: partial 16S ribosomal RNA
Rfam family: Bacterial small subunit ribosomal RNA
Source: RNAcentral